Molecule: ribosomal RNA, 466 nt
Filed under: uncultured bacterium
Lineage: Bacteria
Description: bacterial SSU rRNA
Rfam family: Bacterial small subunit ribosomal RNA
Source: RNAcentral
CCAGACUCCUACGGGAGGCAGCAGUGAGGAAUAUUGGUCAAUGGGCGCGAGCCUGAACCAGCCAAGUCGCGUGAGGGAUGACGGCCCUACGGGUUGUAAACCUCUUUUGUCGGGGAGCAAAUUCCGCCACGUGUGGCGGAGUCGAGAGUACCCGAAGAAAAAGCAUCGGCUAACUCCGUGCCAGCAGCCGCGGUAAUACGGAGGAUGCGAGCGUUAUCCGGAUUUAUUGGGUUUAAAGGGUGCGCAGGCGGAGCCGAAAGUCAGCGGUAAAAUGGAGGGCCUCACCCUCUCCCCGCCGUUGAAACUGCGUUUCUUGAGUGGGCGAGAAGUACGCGGAAUGCGUGGUGUAGCGGUGAAAUGCAUAGAUAUCACGCAGAACUCCGAUUGCGAAGGCAGCGUACCGGCGCCCAACUGACGCUCAUGCACGAAAGCGUGGGUAUCGAACAGGAUUAGAUACCCUUGUACU